GCUCAGAUUGAACGCUAGCGGGAUGCCUUACACAUGCAAGUCGAACGGCAGCACGGACUUCGGUCUGGUGGCGAGUGGCGAACGGGUGAGUAAUGUAUCGGAACGUGCCUAGUAGCGGGGGAUAACUACGCGAAAGCGUAGCUAAUACCGCAUACGCCCUACGGGGGAAAGCAGGGGAUCGCAAGACCUUGCACUAUUAGAGCGGCCGAUAUCGGAUUAGCUAGUUGGUGGGGUAACGGCUCACCAAGGCGACGAUCCGUAGCUGGUUUGAGAGGACGACCAGCCACACUGGGACUGAGACACGGCCCAGACUCCUACGGGAGGCAGCAGUGGGGAAUUUUGGACAAUGGGGGAAACCCUGAUCCAGCCAUCCCGCGUGUGCGAUGAAGGCCUUCGGGUUGUAAAGCACUUUUGGCAGGAAAGAAACGUCGUGGGUUAAUACCCCGCGAAACUGACGGUACCUGCAGAAUAAGCACCGGCUAACUACGUGCCAGCAGCCGCGGUAAUACGUAGGGUGCAAGCGUUAAUCGGAAUUACUGGGCGUAAAGCGUGCGCAGGCGGUUCGGAAAGAAAGAUGUGAAAUCCCAGAGCUUAACUUUGGAACUGCAUUUUUAACUACCGAGCUAGAGUGUGUCAGAGGGAGGUGGAAUUCCGCGUGUAGCAGUGAAAUGCGUAGAUAUGCGGAGGAACACCGAUGGCGAAGGCAGCCUCCUGGGAUAACACUGACGCUC
This 731-nucleotide ribosomal RNA is filed under the name Achromobacter sp. 111117_136_C_B4. RNAcentral describes it as "bacterial SSU rRNA". It matches the Rfam family "Bacterial small subunit ribosomal RNA", at positions 22 to 748 of the family's 1533-position model. The record is from RNAcentral. Lineage: Bacteria; Pseudomonadati; Pseudomonadota; Betaproteobacteria; Burkholderiales; Alcaligenaceae.